Molecule: unclassified non-coding RNA, 200 nt
Filed under: Chaetomium sp.
Lineage: Eukaryota; Fungi; Ascomycota; Sordariomycetes; Sordariales; Chaetomiaceae
Description: partial internal transcribed spacer 2
Source: RNAcentral
UUAAGUUCAGCGGGUAUUCCUACCUGAUCCGAGGUCAACCUUGGGUAAAAUAAGGCUUUUAACGGCCGGAACCCGCAGCACGCCCUGAGCGAGACGUAAACUACUACGCUCGGGGUGACAGCGAGCCCGCCACUGGUUUCAGGGCCUGCGGCAGUCGCAGGUCCCCAACACAAGCCGGGGGCUUGAUGGUUGAAAUGGCG